GGGUUGUGAGGUUAAGCGACUAAGCGUACACGGUGGAUGCCUAGGCAGUCAGAGGCGAUGAAGGGCGUGCUAAUCUGCGAAAAGCGUCGGUAAGCUGAUAUGAAGCGUUAUAACCGACGAUACCCGAAUGGGGAAACCCAGUGCAAUACGUUGCACUAUCGUUAGAUGAAUACAUAGUCUAACGAGGCGAACCGGGGGAACUGAAACAUCUAAGUACCCCGAGGAAAAGAAAUCAACCGAGAUUCCCCCAGUAGCGGCGAGCGAACGGGGAGGAGCCCAGAGUCUGAAUCAGUUUGUGUGUUAGUGGAAGCGUCUGGAAAGUCGCACGGUACAGGGUGAUAGUCCCGUACACCAAAAUGCACAGGCUGUGAACUCGAUGAGUAGGGCGGGACACGUGACAUCCUGUCUGAAUAUGGGGGGACCAUCCUCCAAGGCUAAAUACUCCUGACUGACCGAUAGUGAACCAGUACCGUGAGGGAAAGGCGAAAAGAACCCCGGCGAGGGGAGUGAAAUAGAACCUGAAACCGUGUACGUACAAGCAGUGGGAGCACCUUCGUGGUGUGACUGCGUACCUUUUGUAUAAUGGGUCAGCGACUUAUAUUUUGUAGCAAGGUUAACCGAAUAGGGGAGCCGUAGGGAAACCGAGUCUUAACUGGGCGUCUAGUUGCAAGGUAUAGACCCGAAACCCGGUGAUCUAGCCAUGGGCAGGUUGAAGGUUGGGUAACACUAACUGGAGGACCGAACCGACUAAUGUUGAAAAAUUAGCGGAUGACUUGUGGCUGGGGGUGAAAGGCCAAUCAAACCGGGAGAUAGCUGGUUCUCCCCGAAAGCUAUUUAGGUAGCGCCUCGUGAACUCAUCUUCGGGGGUAGAGCACUGUUUCGGCUAGGGGGCCAUCCCGGCUUACCAAACCGAUGCAAACUCCGAAUACCGAAGAAUGUUAUCACGGGAGACACACGGCGGGUGCUAACGUCCGUCGUGAAGAGGGAAACAACCCAGACCGCCAGCUAAGGUCCCAAAGUCAUGGUUAAGUGGGAAACGAUGUGGGAAGGCACAGACAGCCAGGAUGUUGGCUUAGAAGCAGCCAUCAUUUAAAGAAAGCGUAAUAGCUCACUGGUCGAGUCGGCCUGCGCGGAAGAUGUAACGGGGCUAAACCAUGCACCGAAGCUGCGGCAGCGACGUUAGGCGUUGUUGGGUAGGGGAGCGUUCUGUAAGCCGUUGAAGGUGACCUGUGAGGGUUGCUGGAGGUAUCAGAAGUGCGAAUGCUGACAUAAGUAACGAUAAUGCGGGUGAAAAACCCGCACGCCGGAAGACCAAGGGUUCCUGUCCAACGUUAAUCGGGGCAGGGUGAGUCGACCCCUAAGGCGAGGCUGAAAAGCGUAGUCGAUGGGAAACAGGUUAAUAUUCCUGUACUUGGUGUUACUGCGAAGGGGGGACGGAGAAGGCUAGGCUGGCCGGGCGACGGUUGUCCCGGUUUAAGCGUGUAGGGGGAGUGACCAGGUAAAUCCGGUUGCUUAUCAACCCUGAGGCGUGAUGACGAUGCACCACGGUGCAGAAGCAGUUGAUGCCAUGCUUCCAGGAAAAGCCUCUAAGCAUCAGGUAACAUUAAAUCGUACCCCAAACCGACACAGGUGGUCAGGUAGAGAAUACUCAGGCGCUUGAGAGAACUCGGGUGAAGGAACUAGGCAAAAUGGUGCCGUAACUUCGGGAGAAGGCACGCUGGCGUUAGGUGAAAGGACUAGCUCCUGGAGCUGAAGCCAGUCGCAGAUACCAGCUGGCUGCAACUGUUUAAUAAAAACACAGCACUGUGCAAACACGAAAGUGGACGUAUACAGUGUGACGCCUGCCCGGUGCUGGAAGGUUAAUUGAUGGGGUCAGCCGCAAGGCGAAGCUCUUGAUCGAAGCCCCAGUAAACGGCGGCCGUAACUAUAACGGUCCUAAGGUAGCGAAAUUCCUUGUCGGGUAAGUUCCGACCUGCACGAAUGGCGUAAUGAUGGCCAGGCUGUCUCCACCCGAGACUCAGUGAAAUUGAACUCGCUGUGAAGAUGCAGUGUACCCGCGGCAAGACGGAAAGACCCCGUGAACCUUUACUAUAGCUUGACACUGAACAUUGAGCCUUGAUGUGUAGGAUAGGUGGGAGGCCUUGAAGUGUGGACGCCAGUCUGCAUGGAGCCAACCUUGAAAUACCACCCUUUAAUGUUUGAUGUUCUAACUCGGCCCCAUGAUCUGGGGUGAGGACAGUGUCUGGUGGGUAGUUUGACUGGGGCGGUCUCCUCCCAAAGAGUAACGGAGGAGCACGAAGGUUAGCUAAUCACGGUCGGACAUCGUGAGGUUAGUGCAAAGGCAUAAGCUAGCUUGACUGCGAGAGUGACGGCUCGAGCAGGUACGAAAGUAGGUCUUAGUGAUCCGGUGGUUCUGAAUGGAAGGGCCAUCGCUCAACGGAUAAAAGGUACUCCGGGGAUAACAGGCUGAUACCGCCCAAGAGUUCAUAUCGACGGCGGUGUUUGGCACCUCGAUGUCGGCUCAUCACAUCCUGGGGCUGAAGUAGGUCCCAAGGGUAUGGCUGUUCGCCAUUUAAAGUGGUACGCGAGCUGGGUUUAGAACGUCGUGAGACAGUUCGGUCCCUAUCUGCCGUGGGCGUUGGAAGAUUGAGAGGGGCUGCUCCUAGUACGAGAGGACCGGAGUGGACGAAUCACUGGUGUUCGGGUUGUCAUGCCAAUGGCAUUGCCCGGUAGCUAAAUUCGGAAGAGAUAACCGCUGAAAGCAUCUAAGCGGGAAACUUGCCUCGAGAUGAGUCUUCCCUGGGGCUUAAAGCCCCCUGAAGGAACGUUAAAGACUAUGACGUUGAUAGGCUGGGUGUGUAAGUGCAGCGAUGUAUUGAGCUAACCAGUACUAAUGAUCCGUGAGGCUUAACCUUACAACACCGAAGGUGUUU
Molecule: ribosomal RNA, 2933 nt
Filed under: Yersinia pestis
Lineage: Bacteria; Pseudomonadati; Pseudomonadota; Gammaproteobacteria; Enterobacterales; Yersiniaceae
Description: bacterial LSU rRNA
Rfam family: Bacterial large subunit ribosomal RNA
Source: RNAcentral